AUGGCGCAUGGUCAACCUUCGGUUUCCUCUUAUCAGUUGACCCUAUCCGAAUUAGCUAAACAACAGUUGUGUGAACCAGCAACUCAUGAAUUGGCUAACCCGGUACUUGUCCAUUCAACAUUACCACGGGGAACUUUGGAUUCUUCCCUCCGUGGAUGGCACUCUGAGCAUUCGUUUCACGCCUUGUGUUUCCAUCCAAUGUCACCCAUUCCUAGAGCUGAUCUAGACUUCACUUUAGGGACCAGGAUAGUAUCACAAAAAUUGGGCUGGGAGUAUCAUGAAAUCCAGUAUGUCAAACGUCCAAAGGGUUAUACUCAAUGGGGUGUUGAGGUCUUAAACAAUCAUUAUUUUAAUCGGCAAGGGGGCGAAGAAAAUACGGACUAUAUUCGUGGCGCCAUUUAUUGUUCCCUUUGCAAUUAUUCUGUCAGCCCCUCUUUGCUCCGCUCUUUACUAGAGAGGUGGAGUCCUCAAACCAAUACUUUCAUGCUCUCGUGUGGCGAACGCACCAUCACUUUGCUUGAUAUGUUGCUUAUGGCUGGGCUGCCUAUAGUAGGCGAACCCUACGAAGAAUAUAUCCCGUCACUCACUAAGCUAAAUCCUUCAUUACUCUUGUACCCAAACUUUUUAUUUGAUCUUUUGGAUGCGUGGGAGGUUCUUUCCGCCGAAAGCAGCAUAAAGAAAAAUUUGUUACUUUCCAGGCUUGGUGUGAUUAUUUCCACAACAAGCGGGCUGAUUUUUUGCCAUCCACCAGUCUUCGUAAAAGUCGUAUGUAUGUCGCAGCUUUUGUCGCGCUUUGGCUUUGCUGCUUUGUGGUCGUUGGUGAAGGGCCGUUUAUUCGCCCUAGCAUCCUUGUCAUGGCGUCUUGGAUUGCUUUAG
RNAcentral lists this ribosomal RNA (876 nucleotides) under Triticum aestivum (bread wheat). Its description in RNAcentral is "partial small subunit ribosomal RNA". Lineage: Eukaryota; Viridiplantae; Streptophyta; Magnoliopsida; Poales; Poaceae. The record is from RNAcentral.